AGAAAUAUGCUAUCCUUGGAGGAUGUGAGUGGACACCAGGGAACCUGUUCUUAAGGGUUCUCCCAGAAGUAUGACACUGUACAAACUUGGCCUUAUCUCCCAAUGGGUGUCUGUCAUCUACCCAAGUUGGAGAAAGGUGAAUUCACAAAGGGGAGGGCCCUAGGUCUCUGCUCUGAUCCCAGACGUGGUUUGGCUGACCUCUACUGGAGUUCUAGAUUGCCACCAUUCAGCUCCACCCGAGGGAACCCAGGUACUCCGGACGUUUCCAACACAUAAGGUCAACUUCCAGCCUGGACGUGUUCAUUUUGGAACUGAUACACUUUUGCCUAAGAUCAGGAAAAAACAAAUACAAAACCGGCAGCCCAAACUCAAGCUUAGGAUGGCAGCACCAACCUGGAAGCAGCUCAAAACAGCACUGACAAGCUUCUUAGCCAGAAGGGAAAAGGGAAGCCGAAGCUGGAGGCCUCCCUGUGAAAUUUCAGCAGAGUUUUUCUGAUGCUAGCCAAUAACAAGACUCUUUAUUAAACCAUGGUGUUAGCCCUUUAACUUUGAGUCAGUCACUCAUGGGCAGAAGCCAAACUCAAAACUUCCAUGCAGUCUCCCUGAACCAAGAAGCAUUUGUGGUCCUUAGAAUGGCCUUCUUUACGAAAUAAUCUCCUUUGCUCUUAACGGAUUGUCUCUAUCAGUAAAGAGGCAGCCUGUUUCCUUGCAUGAAUGUGCAGAUCCAUUUCAGAAUCUAUGAAUACCUUCUUUUCUAUUCUCUUCUUGGGUGUGUGUCUGCCAUAUAUGUGCCUGCUUCUGC
Molecule: long non-coding RNA, 802 nt
Organism: Sarcophilus harrisii (Tasmanian devil)
Lineage: Eukaryota; Metazoa; Chordata; Mammalia; Dasyuromorphia; Dasyuridae
Exons: 3
Source: RefSeq, a predicted model, not a curated record